This 318-nucleotide unclassified non-coding RNA is filed under the name uncultured fungus. RNAcentral's name for it is "sequence contains ITS2". The stretch from base 1 to 52 matches the Rfam family "5.8S ribosomal RNA", at positions 103 to 154 of the family's 154-position model. Lineage: Eukaryota; Fungi. RNAcentral also lists the same sequence under 1 other name. The record is from RNAcentral.
AACGCAUCUUGCGCUUGCUGGUAUUCCGGCAAGCAUGCCUGUUUGAGUGUCAUGAAAAUUAUCAACCAUGACUUGGGUUUAGGCCCUCGUUCUUGGCUUGGAUUUGGGUGCUUGCGGUCUUGUGCUGCUCACCUUAAAAGGAUUAGCUGGACAUGUCUUUUGACUUGGUUCUACUUGGCGUAAUAAGUAUUUCGCUGAGGACAUCCCUUCUGGGGUGGCCAAGACUCUGGCAAACGUCUGCUUUCUAACUCGACUGUCCUCGGACAUCACUUUUUAUGAUCUGGCCUCAAAUCAGGUAGGACUACCCGCUGAACUUAA